Molecule: transfer RNA, 72 nt
Filed under: Perkinsus olseni
Lineage: Eukaryota; Perkinsozoa; Perkinsida; Perkinsidae
Rfam family: tRNA
About the family: Transfer RNA (tRNA) molecules are approximately 80 nucleotides in length. Their secondary structure includes four short double-helical elements and three loops (D, anti-codon, and T loops).
Source: Rfam by way of RNAcentral
GCCGGUUUAGCUUAGUGGUAGAGCGUCAGUCUUGUAAACUGAAGGUUGGCGGUUCAAUCCCGCCAUUCGGCU